UUUAUGAAGAUGACUUCCACUUAAUGAAUAAAGCAGCAUUCUACAUCCAGGUACCAGCUUUAUGAUAGUGAGAGAAGAGGAACAAGACACCAUGUCUUGCCAAUGCCCGUCUAGCAUGCGUGGAGUGCAUAUACAGCUACAAGUCCUAGUGGCAGCCCACUCCUGAUUCCUGGCUCACACAGUGGUGCCCUCCUGAAGCCAACAGUUCCUGUGGAAGCUGCCUGACACUCUACAGUGACUUUCCUGAUUGUGAUAGAGGUGGCAGCCAUUAAAAAAAAAAAGAAAAAAGAAUGGCAAAAACUGCAAUUACUUUUGCACCAACCUAAUACCUUUCUGCUGAAGGUAACUCACCAGACAAGCUCCUGUGUCCUGCAAGUGGGCCCUGACUGGUAGAUAUUUAAAUAGUAUUCACAAGUGAAAUAAAAUGAGUACUAGGAUGACAUUUUUUAUUACAUGAUUUUAUAUUCUUUUUCCUACAAAUAAUAAUUACAUUAUCAUUUGCUCAAUUAAUUUUAUGCUUCUGGCUAAGCUUCCCCACCUUCCAAGAGCUUCUCAGUACACAUUUGUACAUGGCUGUCAUCGGAGCUAUCAGAUAAUAUAUUAUUAUUUCUCUGGAGACUUCCACUUUGGGCCAUUCAUUCUCCUGCCCUUAUCUGGGAGGGUUGUCUCCACCCCAGCUGCACAGCAAUCAUGCUGAGGCCUUCCUUCAUGGCAAUCCUGGGAAUUUCUUUGUGACAUCAUAAAAAUAUCUAUUUGGUCCUUGCUCCUGGUUCCUGGCACAGGGAUCCUAAUACCCUUGGAACUGUCUUUUUAUGCUAAUGAGAUGAUUCAUGAAGUGGGCCUAGGUAGCUUCAGGGUACGGGUUGGUCAUCAGAGAAACCAAUCCCAUGAUUCAAGGGUUGAGAAGUUCAGCUCCACAAAUGGCCAAUGAUUUAAUCAAUUUUGCCUAUGUAAUGAAGCCUCCAUAAAACCCUCUAAACAGGAUUCAGAGACCAUCUGGGUUGAUGAACACACUGAUGUGCUGGGAGAAUGGCCCACCCACAGAGGCCACGGAAGCUCUGCACCCAACCACCUCCCCGCCCCACCUGCCGCCACAUACCUUUCCUAUGUAUUUCUUCCAUGUGGCUGUUACUGUGCUGUGUCCUCUAGAAUAAUCUGGUAAAUAUAAGUAAAGCACUUUCCUGAGUUCUGUAAGUCCUUCUAGCAAAGCAUCAAACCUGAGGAAAUCUAAGGAGUAGAGGGAGAGGUUGGAAGGGAUGUUUCUGAGAAGGCUUCUACUAAAAAUCAGAGCACAACAAACUUAUAUGGGAACAUAUUUAUCAAGUAGGGAAGAGUGCAAGAAGGGGAGGAAUGUCUGCUUGAAGCCAGCAGCCUGGACUUAGGUGUGCCCCAGCUCUUCCUAAAAGAAAGCUUCCUCAACCUGGUUUCAGAGGCCAAAGCUUUCCAAUACCAGACGGUGAUAUACCUAAGGGGACUGGAAAAUGAGAUCUAGGCAGGACUGGAGACAGCACUUGUGGGACCCAGUGCAACGCAAAAAUGAGGCGCCUUUGUUAGAAAGUGACGAAGAAUUUCCAGAGAUUGAAAGCAAAGCAAGAAACCAGGGCCCUUUUGAGUGUGGGCCCAUGCGCCUGCUCAGGAAGCCAGCCCUGGGUGUAGGAUAGUUGUAUAAUAGGGAGCAGUUAAGCUCCUAUCUAGGUCUUAAUGCACACACAUAUUAAAAAGACUUCUCCAUCAUCCCCUGAAGCUAUUUUAAAUAAGGCAUUGAUUAUCUAGGCUUUCCAAAUAGGUAUUUCUGCCCUCCACCCUGAAGAUUUUCAGUAUAGAAAGUUUCAAACAUAUACAAAAGUAGAGAGUACCCGCAUGUACCCAUCACACAGCUUCAACAAUCAUGCACACAGGACCAAUCUUAUUUUAUCUUCUUUUUUUUUUUUUUGAGACAG
Molecule: long non-coding RNA, 1940 nt
Filed under: Homo sapiens (human)
Lineage: Eukaryota; Metazoa; Chordata; Mammalia; Primates; Hominidae
Description: HSALNT0182864
Source: RNAcentral